Non-coding RNA from Otolemur garnettii (small-eared galago), 225 nucleotides. The record is from Rfam. Lineage: Eukaryota; Metazoa; Chordata; Mammalia; Primates; Galagidae.
AAUCUGUAGUCUUGGAGCCACACUGGGUUGGUGGUACCCUGGAGCACACCAGACUGGCAGAAAAAGCAGACAUCAGAGGAAGCUGAGGGAUACCUGCUCAAGCGCCAGUGGUUCCAUGUGCAAUUUUCCUCUAAUAGUUCUUAGGUUCAUUGAUUUCAGCUAAAUCAGAGGGACAAGCAUCAUGAACAGAAAUGUAUAGAAGGGCUGUUAUGCUGAAGUAUAAGU